RNAcentral lists this microRNA (22 nucleotides) under Scyliorhinus torazame (cloudy catshark). Its description in RNAcentral is "Sto-Mir-30-P1a_3p* (star (passenger))". The record is from RNAcentral. Lineage: Eukaryota; Metazoa; Chordata; Chondrichthyes; Carcharhiniformes; Scyliorhinidae.
CUUUCAGUCAGAUGUUUGCGAC